This 85-nucleotide transfer RNA is filed under the name Vibrio parahaemolyticus. Its description in RNAcentral is "tRNA-Leu". It matches the Rfam family "tRNA". From Rfam's summary of the family: Transfer RNA (tRNA) molecules are approximately 80 nucleotides in length. Lineage: Bacteria; Pseudomonadati; Pseudomonadota; Gammaproteobacteria; Vibrionales; Vibrionaceae. The record is from RNAcentral.
GGCACUGUGGAGAAAUUGGUAAACUCAGGUGAUUCAAAAUCACCCGCCUAACGGCUUGGCGGUUCGAGUCCGCCCAGUGCUACCA